GUUGCCACUUCCCAGCAGGAAGAAGAGUGUGUUUGGUUUCCCUCCAGGUAGCUUAGUUUCUAGUAAGAAGUUACUGAGUUUUACCACAUUUGGUUUUGAGAUUCUGUUCUUGAAGUAUGGAAUGCCAAAAUGCCUUCAGUCAUUUUUUUCAGCAGCACAAAAUCCCACUGAAUAUCUCCUAACAGAGAGCACCAGUUAGGCCUUCUAUGAUUCUUUGCAUAACCCUAAGGAGACUCCCCAUUCCUAAUUUAAAGGAAUUAGUGUUCACCCUAGAUAAAUCAAUACUGACCAACAAAUGUUAGCAUAAACAUACACUUAUUUAUUUAUCUGCCCCCUAUUUUCAAAAGUAAUUUAAGGCAGCUUAAAAUAAAAAGAACAUAAAACAUUGGUAUCCUUUCAGUGCACUUUUAUUCAAUCCUCAAUAAUAAAUUUC
RNAcentral lists this long non-coding RNA (433 nucleotides) under Homo sapiens (human). RNAcentral's name for it is "HSALNT0335360". Lineage: Eukaryota; Metazoa; Chordata; Mammalia; Primates; Hominidae. The record is from RNAcentral.